Molecule: small nuclear RNA, 103 nt
Organism: Malus domestica (apple)
Lineage: Eukaryota; Viridiplantae; Streptophyta; Magnoliopsida; Rosales; Rosaceae
Source: RefSeq, a predicted model, not a curated record
GUCCCUUCAAGGACAUCUGAUAAAAUUGGAACGACACAAAGAAAAUUAGCAUGACCUUUGCGCAAGGAUGACACGCAUAAAUCAAGAAAUUGUCAAAAAAAAU